CUGUGCUCUCUGGACCCAGUUUUUGACUUCAUCUGUCCUGCGAGCCCCUCCAAACCCUCACACCAUCAAAGCUCUGGGCGGUUCUGACGCCUUCCCCUGUCUGAGACUGUUUCCUCAUCUGUUAAAUGGAGACAGUCAGGGCACCCUCCUUCCAGGCAGCACUCAGAAAGGGGGUCUCUAAACAAAGCUGUAGCCUCUUCUUUCUGAAUGUCAAGUGGAACAGCCCGCUUCCCGGCCACCUGCCCCCCGCAGGUGUGUUGAACCGAAGGUGGCAGGUGUAACCAAUUUUCUUUCCCAGCAUUUUCUCUCCCAGCACCUGCCCACCCCCUCCUCUAUCACCCCAGCCAUGGAAGCAUGCUUUCGUUGGGUCUGGGUCCCAAGACACAGCCCGUGACAGCACCGCCUGCCGUUUGAUGCAUGACAAGUCAGGGGCUGGGGGAUUGCAUGGCUUCCUUACUGCGAGACUCAGCCAGCUCCUCAUCGUGGGGUCUGUCUCUUGUGACACCCCCUUUCCAGGCAGCAACGUCUGCAUUAUUGAAGCCUCUUUUGCUUGUAAGUGGCAGAGCCUGGGAAGGCCAGGGAAAGUCCUUCAGGCACAGCCGGAUCCAGGGCUCAGGUGAUAACAUCAGCUCCCCUUCUGUGUGUCUAGCUUUAUCUCCCUCCAGCUGUCGGCUUCCUUCUGUGUCUCUCUAAGGAGGGGGAGAUGUGGCUGUCGGCUGUUCCAGAUUUACUUCCUGCCAGUUGAGCAGAAAGAAAACUUCUCUGCCUCAGCAUUUCAGACAGUUCGGUGAGUUUUGACAAACACGGGUAGCCAUGGAAUCACCACGACAAUCAAGCUGCAAAGCAGUGCAUCACCCCCAGACUCCACUGCGCUGUCUGGAGCCACCCCCUCGUCCUGCUCCUGGGCAACCACGGAGCUGAGUUCUGUUGCUACAGCUCUUCCCUGUCUCUGAACGCUGCAGAAGGGGAAUCACAGAGGACGCAGCAUCGUGAGUCUGGUUUCCCCGGCCGGAAUUCCGGAUUUGUCUUGUCGUCAUGCACACCUUCCAUUUUAUGGCACAACGGUGCCCAGUUGUACAGCUGCACCACUUUGCUCAUUCCUUUCCCAGUUGAGGGAUAUUUGGGUUGUGUCCAGGUUUGGGCCACUAGAAAUAAAGCUUCCAUAAACA
Neofelis nebulosa (Clouded leopard) is the source of this 1169-nucleotide long non-coding RNA. RefSeq lists it as uncharacterized. Lineage: Eukaryota; Metazoa; Chordata; Mammalia; Carnivora; Felidae. The record is from RefSeq and is a predicted model, not a curated record. The transcript is spliced from 2 exons.